Molecule: long non-coding RNA, 410 nt
Organism: Xiphias gladius (swordfish)
Lineage: Eukaryota; Metazoa; Chordata; Actinopteri; Istiophoriformes; Xiphiidae
Exons: 3
Source: RefSeq, a predicted model, not a curated record
GGCGAGCGUCGCUCGUCACGUGGCUUGUGUUUACAGGUAGCAUGGCAGCGGAGAGCACAGACGCAACACUUUGACCCAAAUUCUGGUCCGCACAGCAGGUAGCUUCUUAGUCUUCGUGCUUAGAAAACGAGAGUUUAGGCCGGUUAGCUGCCUUGAAGAGAAAACUGUGUUUAUCUGAGUCAACUUUUCAAAAGCAUUCAGCAGUCCCGUUCCGUGGCGGAAAGAGGAAUUUAAGGAGGCUAUUCAGUCUUUCAAGAAUGAGACUUCCAGACCCACUGGUCCUGCAGUUCUUUGGAAAAAAACUGCCCAAGCCAUCCGCUCUGUGGUAAAUGUGGCUGCCCACUGCCCUGAUGGAGAAACUACAAUCGCACCUCCUGCACCUCGAACACGUUCCCCCAUGUACUGCAGAG